This 88-nucleotide transfer RNA is filed under the name Flavobacteriales bacterium. Its description in RNAcentral is "tRNA-Leu". It matches the Rfam family "tRNA". From Rfam's summary of the family: Transfer RNA (tRNA) molecules are approximately 80 nucleotides in length. Their secondary structure includes four short double-helical elements and three loops (D, anti-codon, and T loops). The record is from RNAcentral. Lineage: Bacteria; Pseudomonadati; Bacteroidota; Flavobacteriia; Flavobacteriales.
GCCCGGGUGGUGAAAUGGUAGACACGAGGGACUUAAAAUCCCUUGGUCCGUAAGGGCUGUGCCGGUUCGAGUCCGGCCCCGGGCACCA